GGUUUUGUAGUGUAACUAACAUUUCGGAUUGCAAAUCCCUAGAUCAACUAGGACGUUGCCAAAGCUU
This is a non-coding RNA of Strongylocentrotus purpuratus (purple sea urchin), 67 nucleotides long. The record is from the annotation of a RefSeq genome assembly. Lineage: Eukaryota; Metazoa; Echinodermata; Echinoidea; Camarodonta; Strongylocentrotidae.